UCAUAUAACUGAAUAUUUUUAGGAAUCAAAGAAAGAAGGAUAUUUAACAACUGCUCGGGCUAAGCUUGAGGAAAUAUUCAAGUAUUUGGGGAAUAAACUUUGGUUUGCCGGAAAUGAGGCAGAAUAUUAUUAAUACUAAUCACUUUUCCCGACUUCCAUUUUUAUGAAAUAUUUGAUCAACACAGAGAGUUCCAUCCUCAGUUAUUUGAUGGUCUUGACAAUCUUAAAGCUUAUAUGGAUCGCUUUGAAGCAAGCUCUCCCUACUAUCAAGAGGUAUA
This is a long non-coding RNA of Amphimedon queenslandica, 278 nucleotides long. RefSeq lists it as uncharacterized. The record is from RefSeq and is a predicted model, not a curated record. Lineage: Eukaryota; Metazoa; Porifera; Demospongiae; Haplosclerida; Niphatidae. The transcript has 4 exons.